Long non-coding RNA from Danio aesculapii, 338 nucleotides. RefSeq lists it as uncharacterized. The transcript has 3 exons. The record is from RefSeq and is a predicted model, not a curated record. Lineage: Eukaryota; Metazoa; Chordata; Actinopteri; Cypriniformes; Danionidae.
CAACACUAGUGGUGGAUGAGGAGAUUCGCCCCAUUGUGCACUUGGAGUGUCUAGAACAGCGCUAUAUAAAUGUUUUUUUGCUGCUUGCUGUGGUGGAGGAGACAAAAGACUUCCAGGAUAAGCUAAAAUAAUGGCUGAUCUGCUCAUCACGUGUCAUUUCAGAUGCUAAACCGUGGAUCUUCUAAACCCAUUUUCUUCCCAUCAGCUUUAAAUUGCAGCUUUACUAAAUCAGCUGAAGCGUUUAUCCAUCUGUAUCCUGAUGAUGUCAAUUGUUGCUUUUCAACAUCUCUGUCUGUUCAGCACAUUGAUGAUUUUUGUACUUUAAUCUUGACUUAAAG